Molecule: ribosomal RNA, 408 nt
Filed under: uncultured bacterium
Lineage: Bacteria
Description: bacterial SSU rRNA
Rfam family: Bacterial small subunit ribosomal RNA
Source: RNAcentral
GCAAGGGAUUUUCCGCAAUGGGCGAAAGCCUGACGGAGCGACGCCGCGUGGAGGAUGACACCCUUCGGGGCGUAAACUCCUUUUGUGGGGGACGAAGCAAGUGACGGUACCCCACGAAGAAGCACCGGCUAACUACGUGCCAGCAGCCGCGGUAAGACGUAGGGUGCAAGCGUUGUCCGGAAUUACUGGGCGUAAAGGGCGCGUAGGCGGUUGCCCGCGUCGCACGUGAAAGCCCCCGGCUCAACCGGGGAGGGUCGUGCGAGACGGGGUAACUGGAGGCAGGGAGAGGCUGGUGGAAUUCCCGGAGUAGUGGUGAAAUGCGUAGAUACCGGGAGGAACACCUGAGGCGAAGGCGGCCAGCUGGCCCUGUCCUGACGCUGAGGCGCGAAGGCUCGGGGAGCGAACGGG